AUUGAACGCUGGCGGCAGGCCUAACACAUGCAAGUCGAGCGGAUGAAGGGAGCUUGCUCCUGGAUUCAGCGGCGGACGGGUGAGUAAUGCCUAGGAAUCUGCCUGGUAGUGGGGGAUAACGUCCGGAAACGGGCGCUAAUACCGCAUACGUCCUGAGGGAGAAAGUGGGGGAUCUUCGGACCUCACGCUAUCAGAUGAGCCUAGGUCGGAUUAGCUAGUUGGUGGGGUAAAGGCCUACCAAGGCGACGAUCCGUAACUGGUCUGAGGGGAUGAUCAGUCACACUGGAACUGAGACACGGUCCAGACUCCUACGGGAGGCAGCAGUGGGGAAUAUUGGACAAUGGGCGAAAGCCUGAUCCAGCCAUGCCGCGUGUGUGAAGAAGGUCUUCGGAUUGUAAAGCACUUUAAGUUGGGAGGAAGGGCAGUAAGUUAAUACCUUGCUGUUUUGACGUUACCAACCGAAUAAGCACCGGCUAACUUCGUG
This 484-nucleotide ribosomal RNA is filed under the name uncultured bacterium. RNAcentral describes it as "partial 16S ribosomal RNA". It matches the Rfam family "Bacterial small subunit ribosomal RNA", at positions 30 to 507 of the family's 1533-position model. The record is from RNAcentral.